RNAcentral lists this ribosomal RNA (498 nucleotides) under uncultured bacterium. RNAcentral's name for it is "partial 16S ribosomal RNA". It matches the Rfam family "Bacterial small subunit ribosomal RNA", at positions 29 to 507 of the family's 1533-position model. The record is from RNAcentral.
ACGAACGCUGGCGGCGUGCCUAAUACCUGCCAGUCGAGCGAAGUUUUUCUGGUGCUUGCACUAGAAAAACUUAGCGGCGAACGGGUGAGUAACACGUAAAGAACCUGCCUCAUAGACUGGGACAACUAUUGGAAACGAUAGCUAAUACCGGAUAACAGCAUUAACUGCAUGGUUGAUGUUUAAAAGUUGGUUUUGCUAACACUAUGAGAUGGCUUUGCGGUGCAUUAGCUAGUUGGUGGGGUAAAGGCCUACCAAGGCGACGAUGCAUAGCCGACCUGAGAGGGUGAUCGGCCACACUGGGACUGAGACACGGCCCAGACUCCUACGGGAGGCAGCAGUAGGGAAUCUUCCGCAAUGGGCGAAAGCCUGACGGAGCAACGCCGCGUGAGUGAAGAAGGAUUUCGGUUCGUAAAGCUCUGUUGUUAGGGAAGAAUGAUUGUGUAGUAACUAUACACAGUAGAGACGGUACCUAACCAGAAAGCCACGGCUAACUACGUG